RNAcentral lists this ribosomal RNA (445 nucleotides) under uncultured bacterium. Its description in RNAcentral is "bacterial SSU rRNA". It matches the Rfam family "Bacterial small subunit ribosomal RNA", at positions 331 to 793 of the family's 1533-position model. The record is from RNAcentral.
CCAGACUCCUACGGGAGGCAGCAGUGGGGGAUAUUGCACAAUGGGGGAAACCCUGAUGCAGCGACGCCGCGUGGGUGAAGGAGCACCUCGGUGCGUAAAGCCCUAUCGGCAGGGAAGAAACAGACGGUACCUGACUAAGAAGCCCCGGCUAACUACGUGCCAGCAGCCGCGGUAAUACGUAGGGGGCAAGCGUUAUCCGGAUUCACUGGGUGUAAAGGGAGCGUAGACGGCCAUGCAAGCCUGGAGUGAAAGCCCGGGGCCCAACCCCGGGACUGCUCUGGGAACUGUGCGGCUGGAGUGCGGGAGGGGCAGGCGGAAUUCCUGGUGUAGCGGUGAAAUGCGUAGAUAUCAGGAGGAACACCGGCGGCGAAGGCGGCCUGCUGGACCGCGACUGACGUUGAGGCUCGAAAGCGUGGGGAGCAAACAGGAUUAGAUACCCCUGUAG